RNAcentral lists this ribosomal RNA (265 nucleotides) under uncultured bacterium. Its description in RNAcentral is "partial 16S ribosomal RNA". It matches the Rfam family "Bacterial small subunit ribosomal RNA", at positions 88 to 354 of the family's 1533-position model. The record is from RNAcentral.
CCGGCGACCGGCGGACGGGUGCGUAACGCGUAUGUAACCUACCUUUGACAGGGGGAUAACAUCGAGAAAUUGGUACUAAUACCCCAUAACAUCACCGGAGGCAUCUUCGGUGGUUGAAAACUCAGGUGGUCAGAGAUGGACAUGCGUUGUAUUAGCUAGUUGGUGAGGUAACGGCUCACCAAGGCGACGAUACAUAGGGGGACUGAGAGGAAGGUCCCCCACACUGGUACUGAGACACGGACCAGACUCCUACGGAAGGCAGCAG